CUCGCCGGAAGACCAAGGGUUCCUGUCCAACGUUAAUCGGGGCAGGGUGAGUCGACCCCUAAGGCGAGGCCGAAAGGCGUAGUCGAUGGGAAACAGGUUAAUAUUCCUGUACUUGGUGUUACUGCGAAGGGGGGACGGAGAAGGCUAUGUUGGCCGGGCGACGGUUGUCCCGGUUUAAGCGUGUAGGCUGGUUUUCCAGGCAAAUCCGGAAAAUCAAGGCUGAGGCGUGAUGACGAGGCACUACGGUGCUGAAGCAACAAAUGCCCUGCUUCCAGGAAAAGCCUCUAAGCAUCAGGUAACAUCAAAUCGUACCCCAAACCGACACAGGUGGUCAGGUAGAGAAUACCAAGGCGCUUGAGAGAACUCGGGUGAAGGAACUAGGCAAAAUGGUGCCGUAACUUCGGGAGAAGGCACGCUGAUAUGUAGGUGAAGUCCCUCGCGGAUGGAGCUGAAAUCAGUCGAAGAUACCAGCUGGCUGCAACUGUUUAUUAAAAACACAGCACUGUGCAAACACGAAAGUGGACGUAUACGGUGUGACGCCUGCCCGGUGCCGGAAGGUUAAUUGAUGGGGUCAGCGCAAGCGAAGCUCUUGAUCGAAGCCCCGGUAAACGGCGGCCGUAACUAUAACGGUCCUAAGGUAGCGAAAUUCCUUGUCGGGUAAGUUCCGACCUGCACGAAUGGCGUAAUGAUGGCCAGGCUGUCUCCACCCGAGACUCAGUGAAAUUGAACUCGCUGUGAAGAUGCAGUGUACCCGCGGCAAGACGGAAAGACCCCGUGAACCUUUACUAUAGCUUGACACUGAACAUUGAGCCUUGAUGUGUAGGAUAGGUGGGAGGCUUAGAAGUGUGGACGCCAGUCUGCAUGGAGCCGACCUUGAAAUACCACCCUUUAAUGUUUGAUGUUCUAACGUUGACCCGUAAUCCGGGUUGCGGACAGUGUCUGGUGGGUAGUUUGACUGGGGCGGUCUCCUCCUAAAGAGUAACGGAGGAGCACGAAGGUUGGCUAAUCCUGGUCGGACAUCAGGAGGUUAGUGCAAUGGCAUAAGCCAGCUUGACUGCGAGCGUGACGGCGCGAGCAGGUGCGAAAGCAGGUCAUAGUGAUCCGGUGGUUCUGAAUGGAAGGGCCAUCGCUCAACGGAUAAAAGGUACUCCGGGGAUAACAGGCUGAUACCGCCCAAGAGUUCAUAUCGACGGCGGUGUUUGGCACCUCGAUGUCGGCUCAUCACAUCCUGGGGCUGAAGUAGGUCCCAAGGGUAUGGCUGUUCGCCAUUUAAAGUGGUACGCGAGCUGGGUUUAGAACGUCGUGAGACAGUUCGGUCCCUAUCUGCCGUGGGCGCUGGAGAACUGAGGGGGGCUGCUCCUAGUACGAGAGGACCGGAGUGGACGCAUCACUGGUGUUCGGGUUGUCAUGCCAAUGGCACUGCCCGGUAGCUAAAUGCGGAAGAGAUAAGUGCUGAAAGCAUCUAAGCACGAAACUUGCCCCGAGAUGAGUUCUCCCUGACCCUUUAAGGGUCCUGAAGGAACGUUGAAGACGACGACGUUGAUAGGCCGGGUGUGUAAGCGCAGCGAUGCGUUGAGCUAACCGGUACUAAUGAACCGUGAGGCUUAACCUU
This 1612-nucleotide ribosomal RNA is filed under the name Escherichia coli 1-182-04_S1_C3. RNAcentral's name for it is "bacterial LSU rRNA". It matches the Rfam family "Bacterial large subunit ribosomal RNA", at positions 1333 to 2925 of the family's 2925-position model. The record is from RNAcentral. Lineage: Bacteria; Pseudomonadati; Pseudomonadota; Gammaproteobacteria; Enterobacterales; Enterobacteriaceae.